GGGGAGCUUCUUGGAAGAACACUCACAGUGUGUGCUACCCUUCUGCAUGGUGGAAUUGUGGGGAAGUAACUACUAGCCAGAGACUACCUCAAGGCCUCUUUCAUCAAGGAGAGGCCCAUAUGAUUAGUUUUCACCAGUGAGCUAGAUACAGAGGACCUAACAUACAACUCAGAGUCCCUAGAAGAUGGAGAAAACACAGACAAUUGGCAGAGGAGAUGAGCAUGUGAUUAUUGUUACCACUUGUCUGGAAGCAACCAGAAUGGAGUGGGGAAGACUCAAGGAGGAGAUCUUCACAGGACUCACCUCUCAUCACAGCUCCCGUGUGGUUGUAAUCACCCCAGAGGGAAAAAUAAUUUCGGUUUUUUAUGGUUUAAUUAUUGGUGAUAGCAGCUGUUUUGAAGACACAAACACAGAAGCAAGUUCUAGAACAUACUCACAGUUUCCUUGGUCACAGUGUUGUCAGUGGUUCUAUAAAGGUCUUAUGAAUCUCUACUUAGUUGACCACAAGUAGUAAGCAAGAAACAAUCCUGUAAAGAGAAUGGAGGUCAGAAUAAAGAAGCCUUGAGGGUUUAAAUCGCUUCUUGAAAAGAAAUGCCCGUGUGUCAAGGAGCUAAGGGAGACCAGCCCAGGAGGAGCUGAAUCCUGCCAACAAUCACUUGAGUGAACUUGAGAGUGAAUCCUCUCCAUGUUAAGCCUUGAGGUGAUUGUAGCUCCAUCAAAUACCUUCAUUGUAGCCUUGUGAGAGAUCUGAGUCAGAGGAUGGAGUUAAGCCAAGCCCAGAUUCCAGACCCUCAGAAACUUGAAAGCGGAAUACCUGGUUAUCCGGAGGUCACUGUCUCCACACAGAGUGGUGUCCUUGAUGCUAGCUUGGGGCAAAGAAGCCAGGCCAGCUUGUGGUUGCAAUAGGAAUAGAAGAGACUUCCUUACUCCAAUCCCACCCUACCCCCUCAUCCUGCCUCAACCAGUCAUGCAGAGAGAUGCUGAAUGGCUGCCUGCUCUCAGGGGAAUGAUUUGUGGAGGUUUAAUUAAAAUAAUUUAAU
This 1040-nucleotide long non-coding RNA is filed under the name Homo sapiens (human). RNAcentral's name for it is "HSALNT0394130". Lineage: Eukaryota; Metazoa; Chordata; Mammalia; Primates; Hominidae. The record is from RNAcentral.